RNAcentral lists this transfer RNA (69 nucleotides) under Crocidura gueldenstaedtii (Guldenstadt's white-toothed shrew). RNAcentral describes it as "Crocidura suaveolens gueldenstaedtii tRNA-His". It matches the Rfam family "tRNA". From Rfam's summary of the family: Transfer RNA (tRNA) molecules are approximately 80 nucleotides in length. Lineage: Eukaryota; Metazoa; Chordata; Mammalia; Eulipotyphla; Soricidae. The record is from RNAcentral.
GUAAAUAUAGUUUAACAAAAACAUUAGAUUGUGAAUCUAAUAAUAGAAGUUAAUAGCUUCUUAUUUACC